Molecule: microRNA precursor, 88 nt
Filed under: Eptesicus fuscus (big brown bat)
Lineage: Eukaryota; Metazoa; Chordata; Mammalia; Chiroptera; Vespertilionidae
Description: microRNA efu-mir-9273 precursor
Source: miRBase by way of RNAcentral
UGAAGGAAAAGACUAUUCAUGAGGUGGGCUAAUAAGAUGGAAGGAAGCCGUCUAGCAUCACCCAUGGGUUAAUGUUGCCUUUUCUUCA